UAGGGAAUCUUCGGCAAUGGGGGGAACCCUGACCGAGCAACGCCGCGUGAGUGAAGAAGGUUUUCGGAUCGUAAAGCUCUGUUGUUAAGGAAGAACGAGUGUGAGAAUGGAAAGUUCAUACUGUGACGGUACUUAACCAGAAAGGGACGGCUAACUACGUGCCAGCAGCCGCGGUAAUACGUAGGGGGCGAGCGUUGUUCGGAAUUAUUGGGCGUAAAGGGUACGUAGGCGGUUUGUUAAGUUUGGCGUUAAAUCACGGGGCUCAACCCCGUUCAGCGUUGAAAACUGGCAAACUUGAGUAGUAGAGGGGACAGUGGAAUUCCUAGUGUAGCGGUGAAAUGCGUAGAGAUUAGGAAGAAUACCGGUGGCGAAGGCGACCGUCUGGAUACAUACUGACGCUCAGGUACGAAAGCGUGGGGAGCAAACAGG
Molecule: ribosomal RNA, 429 nt
Filed under: Bacteroidota bacterium
Lineage: Bacteria; Pseudomonadati; Bacteroidota
Description: Bacteroidetes bacterium partial 16S ribosomal RNA
Rfam family: Bacterial small subunit ribosomal RNA
Source: RNAcentral